UUGAAUGUAUUUUGUAUGCAUGAAUGGAGAUGGAAACCAGCGUGUGUUAUUGAUCCUCAGGGAGUACAUUAUAUAGAGGUACAGAGGAUGGGAGAGAAGACACACACGCACGCACUAGCUACAACAGAAUCGGUUAGCGAUCCUAUAUUGUAGGCAUGACUGAGAAGAUGCCUUGCAUGGAUAAGCCAUGCAUGCGGUAGAAGUGGCUGCCAAGUUAU
Molecule: long non-coding RNA, 218 nt
Filed under: Hordeum vulgare
Lineage: Eukaryota; Viridiplantae; Streptophyta; Magnoliopsida; Poales; Poaceae
Description: long non-coding RNA (HVUL_LNC005625)
Source: RNAcentral